This 2906-nucleotide ribosomal RNA is filed under the name Salmonella enterica subsp. enterica serovar Johannesburg. Its description in RNAcentral is "23S ribosomal RNA". It matches the Rfam family "Bacterial large subunit ribosomal RNA". Lineage: Bacteria; Pseudomonadati; Pseudomonadota; Gammaproteobacteria; Enterobacterales; Enterobacteriaceae. The record is from RNAcentral.
GGUUAAGCGACUAAGCGUACACGGUGGAUGCCCUGGCAGUCAGAGGCGAUGAAGGACGUGCUAAUCUGCGAUAAGCGCCGGUAAGGUGAUAUGAACCGUUAUAACCGGCGAUUUCCGAAUGGGGAAACCCAGUGUGACUCGUCACACUAUCAUUAACUGAAUCCAUAGGUUAAUGAGGCGAACCGGGGGAACUGAAACAUCUAAGUACCCCGAGGAAAAGAAAUCAACCGAGAUUCCCCCAGUAGCGGCGAGCGAACGGGGAGGAGCCCAGAGCCUGAAUCAGCAUGUGUGUUAGUGGAAGCGUCUGGAAAGGCGCGCGAUACAGGGUGACAGCCCCGUACACAAAAGCGCAUGUGCUGUGAGCUCGAUGAGUAGGGCGGGACACGUGGUAUCCUGUCUGAAUAUGGGGGGACCAUCCUCCAAGGCUAAAUACUCCUGACUGACCGAUAGUGAACCAGUACCGUGAGGGAAAGGCGAAAAGAACCCCGGCGAGGGGAGUGAAAAAGAACCUGAAACCGUGUACGUACAAGCAGUGGGAGCACCCUUUGGGGUGUGACUGCGUACCUUUUGUAUAAUGGGUCAGCGACUUAUAUUCUGUAGCAAGGUUAACCGAAUAGGGGAGCCGGAGGGAAACCGAGUCUUAAUUGGGCGUUAAGUUGCAGGGUAUAGACCCGAAACCCGGUGAUCUAGCCAUGGGCAGGUUGAAGGUUGGGUAACACUAACUGGAGGACCGAACCGACUAAUGUUGAAAAAUUAGCGGAUGACCUGUGGCUGGGGGUGAAAGGCCAAUCAAACCGGGAGAUAGCUGGUUCUCCCCGAAAGCUAUUUAGGUAGCGCCUCGUGAAUUCAUCUCCGGGGGUAGAGCACUGUUUCGGCUAGGGGGCCAUCCCGGCUUACCAACCCGAUGCAAACUGCGAAUACCGGAGAAUGUUAUCACGGGAGACACACGGCGGGUGCUAACGUCCGUCGUGAAGAGGGAAACAACCCAGACCGCCAGCUAAGGUCCCAAAGUCAUGGUUAAGUGGGAAACGAUGUGGGAAGGCCCAGACAGCCAGGAUGUUGGCUUAGAAGCAGCCAUCAUUUAAAGAAAGCGUAAUAGCUCACUGGUCGAGUCGGCCUGCGCGGAAGAUGUAACGGGGCUAAACCAUGCACCGAAGCUGCGGCAGCGACGCUGAUGCGUUGUUGGGUAGGGGAGCGUUCUGUAAGCCUGCGAAGGUGUGUCGUGAGGCAUGCUGGAGGUAUCAGAAGUGCGAAUGCUGACAUAAGUAACGAUAAAGCGGGUGAAAAGCCCGCUCGCCGGAAGACCAAGGGUUCCUGUCCAACGUUAAUCGGGGCAGGGUGAGUCGACCCCUAAGGCGAGGCCGAAAGGCGUAGUCGAUGGGAAACGGGUUAAUAUUCCCGUACUUGGUGUUACUGCGAAGGGGGGACGGAGAAGGCUAUGUUGGCCGGGCGACGGUUGUCCCGGUUUAAGCGUGUAGGUGUGUGUUCCAGGUAAAUCCGGUUCACUUUAACACUGAGGCGUGAUGACGAGGCACUACGGUGCUGAAGCAACAAAUGCCCUGCUUCCAGGAAAAGCCUCUAAGCAUCAGGUAACAUCAAAUCGUACCCCAAACCGACACAGGUGGUCAGGUAGAGAAUACCAAGGCGCUUGAGAGAACUCGGGUGAAGGAACUAGGCAAAAUGGUGCCGUAACUUCGGGAGAAGGCACGCUGACACGUAGGUGAAGUGAUUUACUCAUGGAGCUGAAGUCAGUCGAAGAUACCAGCUGGCUGCAACUGUUUAUUAAAAACACAGCACUGUGCAAACACGAAAGUGGACGUAUACGGUGUGACGCCUGCCCGGUGCCGGAAGGUUAAUUGAUGGGGUCAGCGCAAGCGAAGCUCCUGAUCGAAGCCCCGGUAAACGGCGGCCGUAACUAUAACGGUCCUAAGGUAGCGAAAUUCCUUGUCGGGUAAGUUCCGACCUGCACGAAUGGCGUAAUGAUGGCCAGGCUGUCUCCACCCGAGACUCAGUGAAAUUGAACUCGCUGUGAAGAUGCAGUGUACCCGCGGCAAGACGGAAAGACCCCGUGAACCUUUACUAUAGCUUGACACUGAACAUUGAGCCUUGAUGUGUAGGAUAGGUGGGAGGCUUUGAAGUGUGGACGCCAGUCUGCAUGGAGCCGGCCUUGAAAUACCACCCUUUAAUGUUUGAUGUUCUAACGUGGACCCGUGAUCCGGGUUGCGGACAGUGUCUGGUGGGUAGUUUGACUGGGGCGGUCUCCUCCUAAAGAGUAACGGAGGAGCACGAAGGUUGGCUAAUCCUGGUCGGACAUCAGGAGGUUAGUGCAAUGGCAUAAGCCAGCUUGACUGCGAGCGUGACGGCGCGAGCAGGUGCGAAAGCAGGUCAUAGUGAUCCGGUGGUUCUGAAUGGAAGGGCCAUCGCUCAACGGAUAAAAGGUACUCCGGGGAUAACAGGCUGAUACCGCCCAAGAGUUCAUAUCGACGGCGGUGUUUGGCACCUCGAUGUCGGCUCAUCACAUCCUGGGGCUGAAGUAGGUCCCAAGGGUAUGGCUGUUCGCCAUUUAAAGUGGUACGCGAGCUGGGUUUAGAACGUCGUGAGACAGUUCGGUCCCUAUCUGCCGUGGGCGCUGGAGAACUGAGGGGGGCUGCUCCUAGUACGAGAGGACCGGAGUGGACGCAUCACUGGUGUUCGGGUUGUCAUGCCAAUGGCACUGCCCGGUAGCUAAAUGCGGAAGAGAUAAGUGCUGAAAGCAUCUAAGCACGAAACUUGCCCCGAGAUGAGUUCUCCCUGAGACUUAGAGUCUCCUGAAGGAACGUUGAAGACGACGACGUUGAUAGGCCGGGUGUGUAAGCGCAGCGAUGCGUUGAGCUAACCGGUACUAAUGAACCGUGAGGCUUAACCUU